UCUAUGCCUUCUAUUCAUGUAACAAAGAAUUUGAAACAACUGUGUUUUUUAAAAAUCAGUUGUAUUAUUCAUUCCACAUAUAAUAGGAAAUAAAUAUCAAUGAUUGGAUAAUACGAUUUAUUGGUUCCAAAUGCAAUAGGAAGGGACAAGAGCAAACACUUGGAUCUCUUUGCUCAUCCUUAGAGAUUUCUGAAAAUAAUGUGGAAUCUAGUCAAGAAUAUUACAUCAAUCAAUAAGAAUUCUGUGGUCCUUGAGAAAGAGAACACACAAAUCAAAUUCCCUUGUUCUACUCAUCAAAUUAUGCAAGCCUCCCAAACAACUAAACUGGGUAUGAAAUUUAAAAUCAAUUCACUUUCAAUCUGUUGAGCUAAAAUUUAAUUCUAUCUGAUCUACGUUCAACUCAAAAGAAAAACAAAUAUUUGAAUGAGGAAAACAAAUCGUUGAGUGAUCGCUUGUCUACCAUAGAAGAUCAGCUGAAAUAAAUAAGAAAAAUGAAAGAAUUCGUUGCUUCUCAACAAUUGCAUAGCCCGCAUAUGAAAUCACCCGUAUCAUUUAAGUGGCCACUGACUUUUUAUCUGACCAACUUGUUGAUAUUUUGGAUAUCGCUUGGUUAAUUUUCGAGUUCUUUUGUGAAGAAUGAAUCUCAAGUCAAGAUUAAAGUUUAGAAGAUGUUGGAAAAUUAUUAUUUUUCUAGGAAAGUUGUGCUAUGACGUGAAAUCAUAGUCUUGCUUGGGAUAUUGUCAAUAUGCUAAACUUGUUUUUUCAAUUCAAUAUUGAAACUUACACCAUGGGAUGUUUACCUAUUUUUAUAUUUAUAUCAGCUUUUUUUUAUUGAGAUUCA
Long non-coding RNA from Solanum pennellii, 841 nucleotides. RefSeq lists it as uncharacterized. NCBI's taxonomy places the organism in Eukaryota, Viridiplantae, Streptophyta, Magnoliopsida, Solanales, Solanaceae. The transcript has 2 exons. The record is from RefSeq and is a predicted model, not a curated record.